UAAGGAAUAUUGCUCAAUGGGAGAAAUCCUGAAGCAGCAACGCCGCGUGGAGGAUGAAGGGUUUUUAACUUGUAAACUCCUGUAAAGAAGGAAAAAAUUCCCAUUAGAUGGGAAAUGAUGGUACUUCUGGAGUAAGCCCCGGCUAACUACGUGCCAGCAGCCGCGGUAAUACGUAGGGGGCAAGCGUUGUCCGGAUUUACUGGGUGUAAAGGGUGCUCAGGCGGAUUUGUAAGUCAGAGGUGAAAUCUCACAGCUUAACUGUGAAACUGCCUUUGAUACUGCAAGCCUAGAGUAUGGAAGAGAGUGAUGGAAUAUCUGGUGUAGCAGUGAAAUGCGUAGAUAUCAGAUAGAACACCAAUGGCGAAGGCAGUCACUUGGUCCCAUAACUGACGCUAAAGACANCGAAAGCGUGGGUAGCAAACAGGAUUAGAUACCCUGGUACGUCCAACGCCCUAAAACGAUGAAUACUAGAUGUUGGCUUCGCAUGAAGUCAGUAUCUGAGCUAACGCAUUAAGUAUUCCACCUGGGGAAGUACGAUCGCAAGGUUGAAACUCAAAGGAAUUGACGGGGGUCAUAGCUGUUUCCUG
Molecule: ribosomal RNA, 587 nt
Filed under: uncultured bacterium
Lineage: Bacteria
Description: partial 16S ribosomal RNA
Rfam family: Bacterial small subunit ribosomal RNA
Source: RNAcentral